This 497-nucleotide ribosomal RNA is filed under the name uncultured bacterium. RNAcentral's name for it is "partial 16S ribosomal RNA". It matches the Rfam family "Bacterial small subunit ribosomal RNA", at positions 28 to 507 of the family's 1533-position model. The record is from RNAcentral.
GGUGAACGCUGGCGGCGUGCCUAAUACAUGCAAGUCGAGCGAACAGACGAGGCGCUUGCUCCUCUGACGUUAGCGGCAGACGGGUGAGUAACACGUGUAUAACCUACCUAUCAGACUGGUAUAACUUCGGAAAACCGGAGCUUAUCCCGUAUGAGAUCUUGAAGCGUGUUGUUCAUUGGUGAAAGACGGUUUUGCUGUCACUUAUAGAUGGAUCCGCGCCGGAUUAGCUAGUUGGUAAGGUAACGGCUUACCAAGGCAACGAUGCGUAGGCGACCUGAGAGAGUGAUCGGCCACACUGGAACUGGGCCACGGUCCAGACUCCUACGGGAGGCAGCAGUAGGGAAUCGUCCGCAAUGGGCGAAAGCCUGACGGAGCAACGCCGCGUGAGUGAUGAAGGUCUUCGGAUCGUAAAACUCUGUUAUUAGGGAAGAACAAAUGUGUAAGUAACUAUGCACGUCUUGACGGUACCUAAUCAGAAAGCCACGGCUAACUACGUG